This 236-nucleotide ribosomal RNA is filed under the name uncultured bacterium. Its description in RNAcentral is "partial 16S ribosomal RNA". It matches the Rfam family "Bacterial small subunit ribosomal RNA", at positions 118 to 354 of the family's 1533-position model. The record is from RNAcentral.
UGAGCAAUCUGCCCUUGUGAGGGGGAUAACGUCUGGAAACGGACGCUAAUACCGCAUAACAUACUGAGAUCGCAUGGUUUUGGUAUCAAAGAAUUAUCGCACAAGGAUGAGCUCGCGGCUGAUUAGCUAGUUGGCGGGGUAAAUGCCCACCAAGGCGACGAUCAGUAGCCGGACUGAGAGGUUGAACGGCCACAUUGGGACUGAGACACGGCCCAGACUCCUACGGAAGGCAGCAG